CAUGGACAAACAAUGUUUAUUUCCUUCGUUAUCUAUUCGAUUUAACAUGUUAGAAAAAUAGGCUGCGUCUGAUCUAUGCUUUCAUGGAUAUUACAUAGGCUACAUCUAAUGUAAGCAUUUAACAUUUUAAAGUGAAUUGUUCUGCUACCAAACCCAGGUUUGGCUGCUCACCACUUGAAAGUCAAUAUUCGAGAGACGAGUAUUGGUUAGAAAGGAAAGGUUGCUUUAUUCAAGAGGCCGACAACCUGAUGAGAAAGUGGACUCAUGUCCAAAAACCAGCUCCAAAGAUUCUGCCAGAACAUAAACGUUGUUAAAGAGAGAAACGGAAGUUAAUCAUUUGGGGAAGGGGGUCAGAGUCUUUGUUAUUUUCCACUGUGCUCACACUUUCUUCUGAUUGGCUGGUGGUGGGGUAGGAGGGUGGUCUUCCCAGAAUCUUGUACUCAGCCUGAAGUUACCUUCCUCCAUCUGGGUGGGGCCUUAGUUCUUACAGAGGACUCAAAGGCAUUGUUAUAUAUAUUCCUUGAGGAGGAACGAGGACCCUGCCCUAUUGCUGCAUUGAGCAGCUUCUUGACUGCUCCACCCUUGUCUCUGCAUUCCCUCACCUCCCUGACUAGCAACCGUUUGAAACUGCCCUUAGAAACUCAGUCAAGGAGGCUGAAUGAAGCCUAUUUCCUACAAACAAGAAAUGGGGAAGACAGGAAUAGUUUGUACCCAGAAAGGCCCCACAGGGUCCUGCUUGGUUUCAGAAUUAGGGAAAAAGUUAAAUUAAUGAUAGUGUAGCUGAUGUACAGACGUGUCAAUAAUUAUAAAAAUGGUAUACUGGAAAAUGACCGAAAUUUGGAAUACCAUGGGACAGAUAAUCUAUGCUUUCUUCUGUGUUCUAGUCUCUAUUCUAGCAUCUGUCUCCUGGAAUACUGCAAGCAACUUCCACCAGGUCAAGAUGUUGCCGAUAGAUGCAACCGGUGUUCCAGGUUCUUGUCCUGUCCCAGAAAGAAUUCAGAGGCAAGACUUAGAGGUUAAAAAAGAGGGUGGUAAAACGUUGGAAGGACUCCAGUGCUGGCAGGGGUGCAGGGAGACCCUGACUGACCAUCGACGGGAAGCUCAUCCAUUCUACAACGAUGACUGAGCUGGAGCUAUGGCAGUGAGCCCCACCUAGAAGGUCGGUACCUACCCCCCAGGGAGGGUGACAAAGACCAGAUCCCUGCAAGCUGUGCAUCAGAGUAAGAAUUCUCCAGAUCCACCCAAGUGAGUCCUGUCCAACUGCUGUCGCACUGGCGGUGCCGUCACAGAAGACACAAGAUGUAGGAUCCCUCCACCUCUUGUUAUUUUGUUCCUCUGCUUCCUUCAGUAUUUGCACCUUAAUGUCAGAUGCCUUAAGCACUCAUUAUUUCAUGAGACUGUAAUUCAUGUGUAUUAAAACUGUGGAAGUGUUCCGAUUACCUUUGCAAGAUGCCCUGGAUCCUGAUUUAUGCUUGUCGCCACACUGACUCUCUAAAAGGUGUGUGGCCCAUUUGGAUGUAAAGUGUGGAUUCUCAGAUAUUUGAGUUAGAACUCCUGGCAACAAGGAUGCAGUGCCUAACCCUCCCCUGAUUUUCACCUCCUUGUAUCCUCAGUCCUCUCCCAUUUCCUCUCCCUUUUCUGCCAUGUAUUUACAGGUUUCCUUUAUCUUAAAAAAUAUUAUUAACACACACACACACUCAUGCACAAAAAAAAUCCCUUCAUUUAAUCAUGUUGGCCUCUGUCCAGCUCCUCCUCGUCCCUUUGCUCCCAUCUUCUGGACUCAAGAAACAGCUAAGUCACAGGAUGCUGGA
This is a non-coding RNA of Vicugna pacos (alpaca), 1811 nucleotides long. NCBI's taxonomy places the organism in Eukaryota, Metazoa, Chordata, Mammalia, Artiodactyla, Camelidae. The record is from RefSeq and is a predicted model, not a curated record.